Molecule: ribosomal RNA, 618 nt
Filed under: uncultured bacterium
Lineage: Bacteria
Description: bacterial SSU rRNA
Rfam family: Bacterial small subunit ribosomal RNA (bases 1-539)
Source: RNAcentral
CCUACGGGAGGCAGCAGUGGGGAAUUUUGGACAAUGGGCGCAAGCCUGAUCCAGCAAUGCCGCGUGAGUGAAGAAGGCCUUCGGGUUGUAAAGCUCUUUUGUCAGGGAAGAAACGGUCUGUUCUAAUACAGCGGGCUAAUGACGGUACCUGAAGAAUAAGCACCGGCUAACUACGUGCCAGCAGCCGCGGUAAUACGUAGGGUGCAAGCGUUAAUCGGAAUUACUGGGCGUAAAGCGUGCGCAGGCGGUUUUGUAAGUUUGUCGUGAAAUCCCCGGGCUCAACCUGGGAAUGGCGAUGAAGACUGCAAGGCUAGAGUUUGGCAGAGGGGGGUAGAAUUCCACGUGUAGCAGUGAAAUGCGUAGAUAUGUGGAGGAACACCGAUGGCGAAGGCAGCCCCCUGGGUCAAACUGACGCUCAUGCACGAAAGCGUGGGGAGCAAACAGGAUUAGAUACCCUGGUAGUCCACGCCCUAAACGAUGUCUACUAGUUGUCGGGUCUUAAUUGACUUGGUAACGCNGCUACGCGUGAGUAGACCGCCGUCGGGAGGUACGGUCGCGAGAGUAAACUACGAAGUAGUAGUAGCGCGNGAGACGCGACGACGACGACGACGGAGGAGG